RNAcentral lists this transfer RNA (57 nucleotides) under Bos taurus (domestic cattle). It matches the Rfam family "tRNA", at positions 8 to 63 of the family's 71-position model. From Rfam's summary of the family: Transfer RNA (tRNA) molecules are approximately 80 nucleotides in length. Lineage: Eukaryota; Metazoa; Chordata; Mammalia; Artiodactyla; Bovidae. The record is from Rfam by way of RNAcentral. RNAcentral also lists the same sequence under 2 other names.
UGGCUUAGAGGGUAAAGCGUCUGCCUGCAAUGCAGGAGACCUAGGUUCAAUCCCUGG